Polyodon spathula (Mississippi paddlefish) is the source of this 677-nucleotide long non-coding RNA. RefSeq lists it as uncharacterized. The transcript has 2 exons. Lineage: Eukaryota; Metazoa; Chordata; Actinopteri; Acipenseriformes; Polyodontidae. The record is from RefSeq and is a predicted model, not a curated record.
GAUUGUAAGUGUGGUAUGUGAAUAUAUUGUAAAACAGAGAGGGGGCUGCUUCCCAUGGCUUGCAAUCGUAUAUAUGUAUUCUCAAGAUUGUAGAUUUAAAGAAACCAGCAACAGGAGAGGAGGAGGUUUAAUAAAAAUAAUUGUGUGUUUCUGAUAACACUUCUGUUUGUUUAUUCUUUUUGUUAAUACAAGAAGCACCUUGUACAGGUUUGAUCCUCUCUUGUUUCCACGUGUUCCACUGUACCUGUGGAUUGUAUUUUCUUGUACAGGUUUGAUCCUCUCUUGUUUCCACGUGUUCCACUGUACCUGUGGAUUGUAUUUUCCUCACUCUCUCUUAAAGGGAAUAUGCAUAUUGUAAAGUCCCAGAAGGCAGCGUGAUUUCUGUACAAUAACCCCAGCAGGGUUAGAAUCAAUUCCUCGUUCUUUUUUAAAAUCGAUUCCCUUUUAAUCAAUUCCAACACAGCCUUGAUCACAAUUGCAAUUGGCAGUACUGUGUUAAAACAAGUUACUUCAGUUGAAGUCACUGUUAGUCAAUUAAACUGUCUUCAGAUGAAGUUAGGACUUGCCCUGCCCCUCUGUAUUGUAAUCCCUGUACAUGCUUUAUGUAUUUACACAUUGCAGGAUUGAAAGAGAUUUGCUUCUGGCUUGUAAGUAAAUAAAGGAUUCGCUGUACAGCU